This 254-nucleotide ribosomal RNA is filed under the name uncultured bacterium. Its description in RNAcentral is "partial 16S ribosomal RNA". It matches the Rfam family "Bacterial small subunit ribosomal RNA", at positions 524 to 776 of the family's 1533-position model. The record is from RNAcentral.
UACGUAGGGCGCGAGCGUUGUCCGGAAUUAUUGGGCGUAAAGAGCUCGUAGGCGGUGUGUCACGUCGUUCGUGAAAACCUGCAGCUUAACUGUGGGCGUGCGGUCGAUACGGGCAUCACUGGAGUUCGGCAGGGGAGACUGGAAUUCCUGGUGUAGCGGUGGAAUGCGCAGAUAUCAGGAGGAACACCGAUGGCGAAGGCAGGUCUCUGGGCCGCAACUGACGCUGAGGAGCGAAAGCAUGGGGAGCGAACAGG